Molecule: non-coding RNA, 372 nt
Organism: Momordica charantia (bitter melon)
Lineage: Eukaryota; Viridiplantae; Streptophyta; Magnoliopsida; Cucurbitales; Cucurbitaceae
Source: RefSeq, a predicted model, not a curated record
CAAUUCUUUGAACUCUUCACUCUUCACUCUUCACUGCAGCAUUUGCCCUCAAAGCCCUAAUCGGCUCUAUUCUAUUUAUUCUGAAACAAGAUCCACGGCUUCGAAACUAUGACUUUCAAGCGCAGGAAUGGCGGACGUAACAAGCACGGCCGUGGACACGUCAAGUUUAUCCGCUGCUCCAACUGCGGCAAAUGCUGCCCCAAGUGCAAGUAUCGAUGUUGCAACUGCGAGCGAGACAAACGGAUUCGUGUCUACCGAGUUCUGCGGCUUUAAUCUUGAAUUUUGUAUUAUUUUGUUUUUUUUGAGAUGGUUUCUGUGUUUUGCCUUACCUUCUGUAUGUGUAGCUUUCUAGUUUUAUAUCAAUGUUAUUUU